GGGUGGUAAUGCCGGAUGCUCCAGCUGAUCGCAUGAUCUUCUGGGAAAGCCUUUGCGGCAUGGGAUGGGGUCGCGUCCUAUCAGCUUGAUGGCGGGGUAACGGCCCACCAUGGCUUCGACGGGUAGCCGGCCUGAGAGGGCGACCGGCCACAUUGGGACUGAGAUACGGCCCAGACUCCUACGGGAGGCAGCAGUGGGGAAUAUUGCACAAUGGGCGCAAGCCUGAUGCAGCGACGCCGCGUGAGGGAUGGAGGCCUUCGGGUUGUAAACCUCUUUUGUUAGGGAGCAAGGCAUUUUGUGUUGAGUGUACCUUUCGAAUAAGCACCGGCUAACUACGUGCCAGCAGCCGCGGUAAUACGUAGGGUGCAAGCGUUAUCCGGAAUUAUUGGGCGUAAAGGGCUCGUAGGCGGUUCGUCGCGUCCGGUGUGAAAGUCCAUCGCUUAACGGUGGAUCCGCGCCGGGUACGGGCGGGCUUGAGUGCGGUAGGGGAGACUGGAAUUCCCGGUGUAACGGUGGAAUGUGUAGAUAU
RNAcentral lists this ribosomal RNA (529 nucleotides) under Bifidobacterium breve. RNAcentral describes it as "bacterial SSU rRNA". It matches the Rfam family "Bacterial small subunit ribosomal RNA", at positions 158 to 697 of the family's 1533-position model. Lineage: Bacteria; Bacillati; Actinomycetota; Actinomycetes; Bifidobacteriales; Bifidobacteriaceae. The record is from RNAcentral.